ACCCCUACACCGGGCCACAAUAAUGGCCGCCGCCAAUGUCCCAGUCCCUGGAGAGGUCUCACCUCUCACUGCAAUGCACUCAGAGCCUUUCAGAACACCUUUCUUCAACAAACACUUUUACAAGUCAAAAUUUAUCACAUGGCUUGAUGAGUGGCACAUAGGUCUGCGUCCAGAUCCGAACCCGAGAACCCCAACAAAGCCAACGAAGCAGAGCACACGAACUUAACCACUACACCACCAGGCCGGCCUCAAGAUUUCGCUGUUCUAUUCAUCAACGAGGGGCUGUCUCCACAGACCACUGGGCCCUCAGAAAUGUCUUUGUGGAAACCAGCCAUGGCCUCUUUGUGGGUUUUGUCUCAUGCUUUGGCACACGUGUGAGCCUUCCUCAGGCAUCUAGAUUGUCUGUUAGUCCCUGUGCGUGGGGACCUGUCAGCACAGAGUCUUGACCCAAUGGGCCAGCAACACAUCCUGCUGCAGGGUCAGAGGAUGGAGAACUCUGAGGCCGAGACGGCAAUGGGGAGACGGAGAGCUGAUGUGAAGAAACCUGCGGUCAGAGAGUCCGAUUUUGCCGACUGUGCUGGAUUCUGACUCGAAUUACGGAUUUGAGGAAACCAGGUCAGUCAUGGGUGAGGCCCGAGUGGAAGUGGCUUCUCCUCACUGGGUAGGUAACUUCCUGGGGUGAGACGCUCAAGAGGAGCAUUCGGACUCCGUGUAACAGGGCUAAGCAGCCGGUGCAGCGUCAGGGCGACCCCUCUCAUCAUCUCACACAGCUCCAUGGCACAGAUCACCACCUCUCCCACUGCCGGAGACCCGACGCGUUCUGCUCGGCGCCACCGGUGUGCAUCAACGUCCUGGCGGUGCGGUGAGUUCUGCUUCUGUGGUUCACAAUUCAGCCACUCACAGGAUCAGACCUUCUCGUAGGAUCACAGCUCUCUUCGCUCUGUGGUUGCCGGGCAUGGAUACUUUUAGCGCUGAACUACGUAUUUUCUGGGUAUCCUUCUGUGCUUCAGACCAAGAGUGCAGGAAUGUGAACAAGUCCUUCUCAUUUCAACUCUCCUAUCCUCUUAGGAGAAUCUGCAGAGGUUUUCCCAAACCAUGUCUAU
Molecule: long non-coding RNA, 1103 nt
Organism: Diceros bicornis minor
Lineage: Eukaryota; Metazoa; Chordata; Mammalia; Perissodactyla; Rhinocerotidae
Exons: 4
Source: RefSeq, a predicted model, not a curated record